UCGGGGGCGAGGGUGACGAGGUGGUGCAUGGUUGUCGUCAGCUCGUGUCGUGAGAUGUUGGGUUAAGUCCCGCAACGAGCGCAACCCUCGACCUUAGUUGCCAGCAUUCAGUUGGGCACUCUAAGGUGACUGCCGGCUAAAAGUCGGAGAAGGUGGGGAUGACGUCAAAUCAUCAUGCCCCUUAUGACCUGGGCUACACACGUGCUACAAUGGGCGGUACAAAGGGUCGCGAACCCGCGAGGGGGAGCCAAUCCCAAAAAGCCGCUCUCAGUUCGGAUUGCAGGCUGCAACUCGCCUGCAUGAAGCCGGAAUCGCUAGUAAUCGCGGAUCAGCAUGCCGCGGUGAAUACGUUCCCGGGCCUU
RNAcentral lists this ribosomal RNA (362 nucleotides) under uncultured Anoxybacillus sp. RNAcentral describes it as "bacterial SSU rRNA". It matches the Rfam family "Bacterial small subunit ribosomal RNA", at positions 1014 to 1382 of the family's 1533-position model. The record is from RNAcentral. Lineage: Bacteria; Bacillati; Bacillota; Bacilli; Caryophanales; Anoxybacillaceae.